RNAcentral lists this long non-coding RNA (297 nucleotides) under Salvia miltiorrhiza (redroot sage). RNAcentral's name for it is "long non-coding RNA (SMIL_LNC014031)". The record is from RNAcentral. Lineage: Eukaryota; Viridiplantae; Streptophyta; Magnoliopsida; Lamiales; Lamiaceae.
AAUCUGAGCAUCUCGCUCUUACUCUAUUCCAGAAGCCCCAAUUCCAAUCAAAAAAUCUGAAGAGCCAGUGGAUCGCUUCCUCCGUAGCCAACAAAUCGCCGCCGUUCAGGCUCCGUGCGAAGGCACAGAACCGUGCCCCAUUGUCACACAGGGACCGCGCGCCGUUGCCGCGCAUGAACCACGCACCACCGCCGCGCAGACACCACCGCCGCGCAGGAGUCACACGCCGCCGGCUACUAGCAGAGGGGGAAACCCCCGAUUAUCUUAAAUUAACAUUUAUUUCUGAGCAAUUUCGAG